RNAcentral lists this ribosomal RNA (241 nucleotides) under Bacillus pumilus. Its description in RNAcentral is "partial 23S ribosomal RNA". It matches the Rfam family "Bacterial large subunit ribosomal RNA", at positions 167 to 402 of the family's 2925-position model. The record is from RNAcentral. Lineage: Bacteria; Bacillati; Bacillota; Bacilli; Caryophanales; Bacillaceae.
GAGUAUGAGAAGGCAUACCCGGGGAACUGAAACAUCUAAGUACCCGGAGGAAGAGAAAGCAAAUGCGAUUCCCUGAGUAGCGGCGAGCGAAACGGGAACAGCCCAAACCAAGAGGCUUGCCUCUUGGGGUUGUAGGACACUCUAUACGGAGUUACAAAGGAACGAUAUAAGCGAAGAGGUCUGGAAAGGCCCGCCAAAGAAGGUAACAGCCCUGUAACUGAAAUGUUGUUCUCUCCAGAGU